RNAcentral lists this ribosomal RNA (416 nucleotides) under Arthrobacter sp. R2.a. RNAcentral describes it as "bacterial SSU rRNA". It matches the Rfam family "Bacterial small subunit ribosomal RNA", at positions 84 to 513 of the family's 1533-position model. The record is from RNAcentral. Lineage: Bacteria; Bacillati; Actinomycetota; Actinomycetes; Micrococcales; Micrococcaceae.
ACAGGUGAUUAGUGGCGAACGGGUGAGUAACACGUGAGUAACCUGCCCCUGACUCUGGGAUAAGCCCGGGAAACUGGGUCUAAUACUGGAUAUGCACCGUGAACCGCAUGGUUCUUGGUGGAAAGAUUUUUUGGUCAGGGAUGGACUCGCGGCCUAUCAGCUUGUUGGUGAGGUAAUGGCUCACCAAGGCGACGACGGGUAGCCGGCCUGAGAGGGUGACCGGCCACACUGGGACUGAGACACGGCCCAGACUCCUACGGGAGGCAGCAGUGGGGAAUAUUGCACAAUGGGCGAAAGCCUGAUGCAGCGACGCCGCGUGAGGGAUGACGGCCUUCGGGUUGUAAACCUCUUUCAGUAGGGAAGAAGCGAAAGUGACGGUACCUGCAGAAGAAGCGCCGGCUAACUACGUGCCAGCA